CACGUAGGCUGUUUGGUAAGUCAGGGGUGAAAUCCCGCGGCUCAACCGCGGAAUUGCCCUUGAUACUGCUGGACUUGAGUCCGGGAGAGGGUGGCGGAAUUCCAGGUGUAGGAGUGAAAUCCGUAGAUAUCUGGAGGAACAUCAGUGGCGAAGGCGGCCACCUGGACCGGUACUGACGCUGAGGUGCGAAAGCGUGGGGAGCAAACA
This 207-nucleotide ribosomal RNA is filed under the name uncultured bacterium. Its description in RNAcentral is "partial 16S ribosomal RNA". It matches the Rfam family "Bacterial small subunit ribosomal RNA", at positions 568 to 774 of the family's 1533-position model. The record is from RNAcentral.